Molecule: long non-coding RNA, 1787 nt
Filed under: Capra hircus (goat)
Lineage: Eukaryota; Metazoa; Chordata; Mammalia; Artiodactyla; Bovidae
Description: lncRNA (ENSCHIG00010014973.1)
Source: RNAcentral
CUCUGGGAUAUUCCCCCCGCCCCUCCACGCAUCAGGUUUAUGUCCCAGUUGCCUUGCCCUAGACUCUGGGCCUCUGGAGGGCAAGGCCAUAGGGGGUGAUGUUGCUCUGGGCCCAGUAAACACCACUGAAAGGAACUGACAAAGGGUCCCUGCCUCCUUCUUGUCCUGCUUCUUCCCCGUGUGCUGGGGUGAGCCAGGGCCCAUGGGGCAGCCUGCAGAGCACUUCCUGCCUUACCUGGACCUGGGAGAGGCUGGGCUCAGGGCCUGGGGACCACCUGUGGGCUGGGGUGCUGAGGCCCUGGAGGGCUGUGGAGAUGGGGGAGGGUGAAUGCCUACCCAGGUGGUCCACCCUGUUUCAAUUUCAAAGACAUGGGAGGCGCAGGCCAGCAGGAAUGGUGACGGCCAGUGCCCAGCAGGUGCUCACCUGGACAGUGGUUGUCCUGAGUGGGCUUCUCUGCUAGAGGAAGGGGCUGAGUGUCUCUGCAGCCUGAAGUCAAAGCUCCAGCAGGCCUCUCUUUCCCUCCCAGAGAGGGAGGCGCCAUCAAGGAUGGUCAGGCUUAAACCAGAUAGACCCAAGGGACAGCGACAGGCCUGGGGACAAGGGACUGAGCCAGGGUAUAUAAGCCAAGGUGCGAGGGAGAGGGGGUACUGCAGAUGGAGAGGGUGUGAGAAUACUGCCCUGGGAUGGGGGUCGGGCCCGAGUCCUCGGCUGCUGUCCAAACCCAGACCUGGGUGGGUCACUGAGAAGACUGGAACCCGUGGCGGAAGGCCCCCUGGAGGUCGCUUCGGCCACUGCAUCGUCCCUCGGCCAGCCUGGGAAGGGGCGGGGGCGUGGCAGCAAUGGAGGGGACCACCCUCAUCGCCCCACUUCCGCCGCCUGCUGCUUCAGACCUGCGGGUUAGGCGGACCCCGGGAGUCUGCUUUCCCGCGUUACCGACGAAGUUAAACAAUUUGGCCUGGACGUCCUCGGGAGCGAGGCCCCACUUUCCCUGUUCGCGCCCCAAAGCCAGCGCCAGGGAGCGAAGUUCCCGACCCCCGUAUUCUGACAAGGCUGGGCCACUCCUUCUCCCCAAAGCACCCCGAACCCUGCCCGCCCUUUGUGACCCCGGUCCUCCUAACUCCCAAAUGGGGCGCAAAAAGAGAAACGAGCGCAAGCUCGCUCGACACAGCCAGGAGAGGAGUUCCUCCCUCCCCUGUCUAGCUGCGGGUCUACGAGAAAGGCGAUGGGGUCCCCAUAAGAAAGGGUGAGGAAACGCAAGGGCGCGCGGUCCAGCAGGGCCACAAGCUGGGGAAGAAGAGAGGGGGAAGGGUCGCGCACGUGGCCGGGGGGCGGGGCUGGCCGCUUCCGCACCCCCACCGGGCCACGUGGGGAGCGGACCCCUCCCCCAUCCCGACCUGGGGCGCGCCCUGGACCGGGUGGAAGCGUCCGGGGAAGGGGCGGGCCCCCGCCGGCCGNNNNNNNNNNNNNNNNNNNNNNNAGCCCGCGAGGAGGCGGGGCGCGCGCCGAGCUGGGAAGGGCUCGCCCUAGGGGGCGGGCCCACCCAAGGAAGGAGGGGCGUGCCGGGAUGGGGCGGGACUCGCCCCGGAGGCGGGACCCUACCAGGGACGGGGCGGAGUUUCCUGGCGUGAGGAGGGGGUUUUCUGGGGGCGGUCCGCAGGGAGCUACUGAGGGAAAAGCGCGCCAGAAGGGGCUGGCUCCUCAGCCUGCUGCCCGGCGUGGGGAAGGCGCGCUCGGGGAGGGAGGAGAGCGUACUGUGGGGCCAGAGUGGGCGCGACAGGGGGCGGUU